CUACUUACCUGGCAGGGGAGACACCAUGAUCAGGAAGGUGGUUUUCCCAGGGCGAGGCUCACCCAUUGCACUGCAGGUGUGCUGACCCCCACCAUUUCCCCAAAUGCAGGAAACGUGACUGUAUAAUUUGUGGUAGCGGGGAACUGUGUCCAUGCUUUCCCCUG
This is a small nuclear RNA of Echinops telfairi (small Madagascar hedgehog), 164 nucleotides long. Its record names the gene U1. It matches the Rfam family "U1 spliceosomal RNA". Rfam says of the family: U1 is a small nuclear RNA (snRNA) component of the spliceosome (involved in pre-mRNA splicing). Its 5' end forms complementary base pairs with the 5' splice junction, thus defining the 5' donor site of an intron. Lineage: Eukaryota; Metazoa; Chordata; Mammalia; Afrosoricida; Tenrecidae. The record is from Ensembl.